UACAAGAUUUUUGCUUAUUUGAGGGAGUAUUUUAGUGAAGGUUUUUAAAAACCUCCACAAUACAUCUUAUUUAUGGCAAUUUAAAAAAUCUCCACUAAUAAUUAAUUAAAAUUAAGAUUUGAAACAAAACCUAAAUUUCCCUUUUUUUUCAACACGAGAGACUGCGUUAGCUCAGAGAGAAAGAGAGCUUCUACAUCGAGAAUUUCGUUCACCAUCCACUGUCAUCGGCUUCAAACAAAACCGCCAUUUUCGCCGUUGUUUCCGCUGCCAUUUCCGCCGCCGGCACCAUUACCACUGCUGUGUCCGUUGCGGUAGAGAGCUUCUGGAUCGAGAGCUUCUGAAUUUAAGAAGGGAAGUUUCGAAGAAGCUUAGAAUUCAACAAUCUAUCAUACUCAGCAUACUUGAGAUUCCUUUUUGUUAGUUAUUAUACUAAAGCUUUUGUUCUUUUUCAUAGUUAUAUAAUCCUAAAUUUUUAUUUUUUAUUUUUAUAAUAAUUCCCUUUUGGAGUUUGAACCUUUCAUGCGUUCUCUUUAGCCCAAUUUAGCGUUUCAUUUCAUUCAUUCAUUCUCACCCGUUCGGCCAUUCAACGAGGGUUUUGGGUUCAUUUGGCGAAUACUGGGGUUUUGUUUUUAGGAAACAUUGUCGUUUGUUUUGAUCAAUUUAUUAUUGAGUCUCACUAGAUUUUGUUGACUUUGGAUUUGAGACUGCAAAUAAUAACACAUCAAUGGUUUAAGAUAGAAUAUAGAUUAAGGGUGAGAGAUUUUGCAUGUGAAAUUUGUGAGAUAAGAAAACUGGAGUUGCUGCUGGAUCAGGUUGUUUAGUAUUUGUUCUGUUCUAUUGGUUUAGAGGGGGAAAAGAGAGCCAAUUUUGGGUAACAUGCUGGGAGAUUUGAUACUCAAGUAUAUUUUUAAGCUUCUGUCAUGUUCAUAAAGGUUAAUGCUACUUUUAGGAGGGAUUGUUAUUGUUGUGAGGAUGAGUUUAUGUAAUGAAUCUUGUGUAUUGUCAUCCAAGAUGUUGGUAUGCAAAUGAGUCUCAACUAUUGUAUUUGGACUUGUUUUAACAAAAUUCAAUCUUCAUCUCUCUUCAUUAUAUCUAUUUAUUUAUCGAUAAUAUUAAUUAAGAUCCGGUAGUAUGCAGUUAAAAACAUUGGCUUUAUUUUGUAAAACCAUUAUAAAUAGGAUGAUUGAAAACUUUGGUUCACGAGUGCCUUUCCUUCAUCUUCAACUCUUAUCCCUGAAUAUCAGGUUCCUCAUACAUGUGGCCAAGGUUAUAGGCUUGCGGGGGACUAGUCUACUCAAGGUCCAUGUUGCAUGUUAUUUCCUUUUAAUUAUGUUUAUUUGAUUCUAUAUUUUUGUCUACUAAAAAGUUAAAACAAUUAAUUCUUGCUAUGUAUUAUGGUCAAGUUUAUCCUUGGUUGCUGAGCAUUUCUCAGAUGCUCCUUUCACCAAGUGUUAUUUAGCAAUGUCACAUUUUUCUCACUAAUUAUUUUAGUGCAUACCUAUUACCCUUAGAUAUCAAAAUUAAGGUGUAGCAACACCGCUAAUCAUCUUAGAAAUGAUAAUACAGUUUCCCAUUUCUGUGCCUUAGCCUCCUCAUCUUUUUGUGUUUGUUUGCUUCUCCUCACUGACCACUUUUUUAGUCAUUGUCUCUGUUCAUAAUCUCUAUUACUCCACCAUUCUCAUUCAGGCUGUCCCCUUCCCCUUUUCUAUGAUUCCACGGGGAUAAAGUUGGUGAAUCCACUGGGUAAGGAUCUAAAAAUGCCUCUUUUUCCACCUACCUAAAGUAUUAAGAAAGAAUAAGACAAAUAAAAAUGAAACUUCAAAGAUUAGCAAGUAGAACAAGAUUAUAUCAUAGAGGUUCUAAAGGAUUGCUCAAACAAGUUAUUUUGAAGCUUUGAAGGAAACAGUGAGUGUUGUCUUAAUUCUCUUUUCUCCUUUUAUUUUAAUGUUUUAUAGAGGCAUAAAUCAAGAACCUAGUUAGUUAUUGGUUAGGAAUGUGAUAGUGCCAUUUUCUGCAGAUCUCAUACAAAUGUGUUUUAUUGUGGUUUGACAAGGCUCUUUUUUUAAGCAUUAUCGCAUCAUUUAGGGAGUUUACACUUCCUUGUAAUUCACCUAAGUAUUAAAUAAAUAAUAAAGCCUUUUUGAUCUCAAAAUAUAACCUGCAGGCAUCUCUUGAGUAUUGUGAUUCUAAUGCUGGAUGGGUUUUUAAAAAUUCCAAUAGCGAUUCAUCCUCAACUACAUCAGUUUGGCCUCUCUUCCAAACCAACUCAUCUCAUUGCACUAGCUCUCUUUCAGCAGAAGAGCAAGCCAAUGUGGCAGUGCAGCAAUUUAAUUAAAUAUUUACGUUUUUAUUUUAGAAAAUUUUGAUCCACUUAAUAAGAUACCUUUUUUAGGGGAGCAUUUAAAACAUAACAGGAGAGGCCGAGCUGUUGAACACAAAACAAACGUUUUCUGGAUUUUUAAUUUAGUAGUAUAGAAUUAAAAGAUUGAGAGAAAAGAUAGAAAGCUGGGUCUAAAACCUUUUUUGACUGCUUUUGUUUGCUUGAGAUCCUAUACAGCUGUAAUGUAAAAGCAUAUCUCCCAACUCUAUCUAUAAGCAACCAAUUAUCAAAAGAAAAAAAAAGAAGAGUCUUCUGUGGCGUUUGAAAUAUCUAUUAACUGAGUGUCACUGCAAUAAUCUCUAUCAUUACUCAAAAUUAAAUUCAUAAUGUUAGUAUUGUUAUUAUUUGCAAGAGGGAUAGCUUCAUAACUCACAGGGCAUUUUGUGAUCCAUUGGCAGAAGAAACAGCUAGGGUAAAUGCAGCAUCAAGCAUUAACAACUCAAUUCAUAGAAUUACAUGCUAAAGCAUUUGCUUAGGUUUCUUCUGUUUCUGGGAUUAAAGUGGGUACUGAUUUUUCUCUCACCAGUUUCUUGCUAUUGCUUUUCAACAAGUGCUUGUUGAGGUAAGAUAAUAAUUAUAUCCUGUUUUGUUUUAAAUAUGUUAGAAGUCUAUUAUAGCUUUGUAGUUUAUUAUGUUAGAAGUUCCAGAUAUAUUUUUUAGUAGUAUACAUGUCUAGUAAUUAUUUUUUCAUACUUGAAGUUUAACUAGAAACAAUGGAUAAAUCUUGGAUUGCUAAGCCACGAAACUCAGAUGAAUACAUAGUCAGUCUAGAAAACUUCUUGGAUUUUGAAUUUCAACAUGGAGCAAUUGAGAAUAGUAAGAUAAUAUGUUCAUGUCCAAGUUGUGGGUUUUGCAAAUGGCAUGCUCGAAAAGAUGUUAGAGAUCAUUUACUUUACAAACUAUUCCCUAAGAAUUAUGUUGUAUGGAACUUUCAUGACGAGAAAGAAGUAACCAAAUUCUCAACAAGUGCACAUGUCAUGCGCGAGACAUUGGCAACUGAACAUCCCCUAUAUAACAUGAUAAAUGAUGCUUUCGGGAUACAUAUGGAUCAAGAGAGCGGUGAGGAUUCAGGAACGGAAGAUUUUGUAAACGAUGAGCCAAGAGAAAAUCGUAGAGACUUUGAUGAGUUUCUCAAGGAAGGCAAUCAAAAGCUACAAGAAGGAAGCGACUUCACAAAGCUAGAAUUCAUAGUCAAAUUGUAUCAUAUUAAAGUCUUGUGUGGACUAAGUGACAAGGCCAUUACCAUGAUACUUGAGUUGGUGAGGGAUGCUUUUAGUUGUGUGAAUUUGCCUACGAAUUUUGAUCAGGAAAAGAAACUAAUUUGAAAACUAAGUCUUGACUAUGUUAAGAUAGAUGCUUGCCCCAAUGAUUGUAUGUUGUUCGAGGAUGAAGACCCAAACAACAUCCAACAAACAUGCAGUCAUUGUGGUGCUUCUAGGUGGAAUUCUAAGAAGAAGAAAAAGAAAAACCAAGCUGCCAAGGUUUUGAGAUACUUUCCGUUGAAACCAAGGUUGCAAAGAUUGUUCUUGUGUCGUAAAACUGCAGAGCAUAUCUUAUGGAAUGCAACAGCGAAGGGAGAAAAUGACAAAAUGGUGCAUCCAGGGGAUGGUGAGGCAUGGAAGACUUUUGAUUUGACACACAGAGAGUUUGGAUUGCAACCUAGAAAUGUUCGCUUAGGACUUGCUAGUGAUGGUUUCAAUCCUUAUAGAUCAAUGAGUUCUGCUCAUAGCAUUUGGCAUGUGUUUCUGAUUCCAUAGAAUCUUCCUCCUUGGAUGUGUAUGAAACAUACUUCCUUUAUUCUAUCAAUGGUUAUACUUGGCAAGCAUAGUCCCGGAAAUAAUAUAGACAUAUAUCUUAAACCACUUGUCAGAGAGUUCAAAGAAUUAUGGGAUAAGGGUAUGGAAAUUUAUGAUGCAUCAGAACAUAAAAUGUUUAAGAUUCAUGCAGCUCUUAUAUGGAUAGUUAGUGAUUUUCUUGGCCUAAGCAUGCUCUCCAGAUGGAACACAUAUACUGGUUUGGCUUGCCCAACUUGUAAUUUUGAUGCAAAACCUUGUUAUCUUAAUCAUAGCAAAAAAUGGUGUUAUAUAGGUCAUCAAUGUUUUCUUGGUAGACAACAUCGAUUCAGGUUAAGUAGAGUUCGUUUUGAUGGACACACAGAAGAACGUGAUCCCCUGGCUAAAUUAUCAAGAUCCGAAAUUCUGGCACAUGUAGAAAAUCUUGAUGAUACAUUCGGGAAGAAAGAAAAGUUGAACAAGAAAGAAAAAAGGGGUAGGCAAGCAACUAUGCAGUGGAGAAAGAGAAACAUCUUUUUUUGAACUUCCAUAUUAGAAAACCAACUUGUUGCCUCAUAACCUUGACUUUAUGCACAUUGAGAAAAAUGUAUGCGAUAAUAUUUUGUAUACAUUACUCAAUGAGAAAUCUAAAGCAAAAGAUAAUCUCAAUGCCCGAAAAGAUCUACAAGACAUGGGGAUAAGGCAUUAUCUUUGGCCAGAUGAUAAUGGAAAAUAUCACCUUGCUUUGUAUUCACUAACACGAGAUGCUAAAAAGGUCUUUCUUGCAACUUUGAAGAAUGUUAGGGUGCCCGAUGGUUACAACAAAAAAUCAUUAGACUUAAAAGUCAUGACUGUCAUAUUUUGAUUGAGCAGUUGCUUCCACUAGUAAUCCGUAAUGUGCUACCAAACCAAGUUACCUCAGUUUUGAUAGAGUUCUGCUCAUUUUUUAGAAUUCUUUGUGGUAAGAGUCUAGGUCGUACAAAACUUGAUAAGCUCCAAGAUCGCAUUGUGAUUACUCUUUUCCAUUUGGAAAUGUUAUUUCCUCCAUCAUUCUUCACCGUUAUGGUGCAUCUAACAGUCCAUCUUAUUGAGGAAGCAAAACUUGGGGGGCCAGUCCAUUAUCGAUACAUGUAUCCCAUUGAAAGGUACAAUAAUGCUUUCCCUUUUUAAAAUAAAAAUUCAUUUGAUGAAAUUGUAGUACACUGACAAUUCAUCCAUGUAGGGAAUUGGGACACUUGAAGUCCUUUGUACGAAAUAAAGCACAUCUAAAAGGUUCUAUUGCUGAGGGUUAUUUAGAUGAAGAGUCUCUUACUUUUUGUUCUCGGUAUAUUGAUGACAUGGAGACUAGAUUUAACAGGCCUAGUUGAUAAACUACUAUUUUAUGGUUCAUCUUGUACUCAAUUGAGUAGAUUUUAUCAAUCUUUCAUACACGUAUUCAUAUGAUUUGCAUGAGUUUAUGUUUUCCUUCCUGAUUUUGUGCUA
Arachis ipaensis is the source of this 5634-nucleotide non-coding RNA. The record is from RefSeq and is a predicted model, not a curated record. NCBI's taxonomy places the organism in Eukaryota, Viridiplantae, Streptophyta, Magnoliopsida, Fabales, Fabaceae.